Molecule: long non-coding RNA, 1929 nt
Organism: Triticum aestivum (bread wheat)
Lineage: Eukaryota; Viridiplantae; Streptophyta; Magnoliopsida; Poales; Poaceae
Exons: 7
Source: RefSeq, a predicted model, not a curated record
ACCAUGAAGGGACAGGGACCUCCUCCUCGGCCGUGUUCUUCCUCGCCUCCCACCCACGCCCUUGGGUUUCAUGUCCACGAUUCAGACACCGCGGUGGCAACUUGCCCGGCGGCGGCUCCUCACCAUCCGCCCCCACUCUCGCCCUCCGCCUUCCCCAACAGAAGACACCACGCGAUGGAGAUAGCGGUGGCUGCACUCACGCUCCUGUUCCUCAGCCAUCUGAGUGGCCUUCUUGGAUUGAUUGUCUGGUGGCGGCGUGGUGUUAUUGGUUUGCUCAGCAUUCGCCAUCAUUUCAUCAAUUCGCAACAGUGGCCAUCGGUUCGGCCCUUCUGCUCCUGCGAAUCUGUGGAUCCAGCCCACGCGCAUGAUCUAGCCGAGGCGGGGGCCGCUCGAUCCAAUUCGACGCGGGGGCAAUCCAUCGCAGCAAGGGGGAAAUGGAGGGAUGCGGGUGAUGCAAGCCGACGCUUCAUCUGAUCGAAACUGCUCUGCUCAUAUUUGAAGGCCGCAAUCAUUAUACGGUUACUCUGCACAAAUUCAUGGCAGGGGAUGUCCUAUCCUUUCCGCUGCCUCACGGUACAAUGUGGGGCUCGCCAAUCAAUGCGGAGAGGAUCUCACCGGCCGAUGCAAGGAAGUUCAUCCGCCGUUUUUCAAGCGAGGAGUAAAGUGCUCGCUUGUUUUGUAUAUAUCAAUUAAUGGCAGUCGAGGGAGCGAUGGUGACGGAUGGUGGAGGUUAUGGUAUAUUGUUUGGGUACUAUUCAAGGCUGGUUCUGGAAUUUUAUUGGAAGAGAUACUGAUGGGUUGACUAUUUGCAAUGGCAAUCAGGUCUUUUACUAUUAGGCCAACAAGAAGCGCAGGCUGCACGCCGCGAGCACUGAGCGCAGUCGAUGAGCUCGCCGCCUGUUAAAACUCCGUUGCUGAACAUGUAUGGUGACCUUAAUAUAUAUCUCACAAACUACAUCAUGAUUGGUCUCCGCCCUUGGAAGCCCUUGGGAAGUCAUCACACGAGGCAUCUCAUCUAUCCUUAGCAUCAGCAUAGCAAGGACGAUGAAGUGGGUUUGAGCCAAGACCUCUAAUGAUGUUUCUACUUCUCUUUCUUCAAGUGCCUUCAUCUGGUGGGCAUAAGUAGUCUUAGUAUUGUACCUGGGUUUCUUCUCACCAGACAUGGAGGCGGGGCCGCUGGGGACACGUUAGUGCAGCUAGCUAGAUUCCACUUUAAUGAAGAUGGAGAAGACGAAGAGGGGGAGUAUAGCUUGAAUGUGUUGUAUCCAUCCUGACGACGUCGACGAUGCGCGCGUGCCGUAUGGCCGACCUGGCGAGCCUCCUGCCCUCGAGGAAAAAUUCCGCGUGUCAUGGAAGGAGCCGUACACGUACUGACGUACGUCUAUAGUGAUUCCGGCGGCGGUCUGAGUUCGUCUGACCAUCCAGGUUUCUCUGCAUGCACGCCGGCCGAGACCUACUCUUCUUUUCGCCGGACAGACGACGGUGCCUCGGACGCGAGCGGCUUCGCCGAGUGGCGCGAUCGGAACUAAUCCUGCACGAUGGGAGACGACUGCGGCGUCGUAGGGGCCGGAGGAGAAGGCAUCGCACGCAUGACCGAGAAGCUUGAAGACUUCCUCAACAGCGGCGGAAAGGUUCUUGUCCAAUUGAAUGAAGAGAUCAUUUUUUUACCGCAUCGGCCGUGGAAUACCAUGUCGAGAAGAUGUGCCAGUAGCGCAAACGGUCCGGGCUCCUGCCCACGGCAGCGUGGACGUCGGUGGCGAACAUGUUCGCUGCACCGGUGAGCAACGUGAAGAGCCGCUGGGCCACGCCUUUGUUCGUAUUAAGGCGUCGUAUUUGCAGGACGAAUAUCCAAGAUGGUUUUGCUUUAAUUUUUUUUCGUUUUCUACCUUGAUUAGCGGGAGCACAAUAAUUACCUGGUGCAUGCGACCC